UACGAAGGGGGCAAGCGUUGUUCGGAAUUAUUGGGCGUAAAGGGAGCGUAGGCGGUUCGGCAAGUCUUUAGUGAAAUCUCUGGGCUCAACUCAGAGUCUGCUGGAGAAACUGCCGGGCUGGAGUAUGGGAGAGGUGAGUGGAAUUCCCGGUGUAGAGGUGAAAUUCGUAGAUAUUCGGAAGAACACCAGUGGCGAAGGCGACUUACUGGACACAUAUUGACGCUGAGGUGCGAAAGCGUGGGGAGCAAACAGG
This 253-nucleotide ribosomal RNA is filed under the name uncultured bacterium. RNAcentral's name for it is "partial 16S ribosomal RNA". It matches the Rfam family "Bacterial small subunit ribosomal RNA", at positions 524 to 776 of the family's 1533-position model. The record is from RNAcentral.